UGGAGGUGUAAGAGACCCCCAAGGCGACGAUGGGUAGCCGGCCUGAGAGGGUGACCGGCCACACUGGAACUGAGACACGGUCCAGACUCCUACGGGAGGCAGCAGUGGGGAAUCUUCCGCAAUGGGCGCAAGCCUGACGGAGCAACGCCGCGUGAGUGAAGAAGGCCUUCGGGUUGUAAAACUCUGUCAUCAGGGAAGAAGAAAGUGACGGUACCUGAGGAGGAAGCCCCGGCUAACUACGUGCCAGCAGCCGCGGUAAAACGUAGGGGGCGAGCGUUGUCCGGAAUUACUGGGCGUAAAGGGCGCGUAGGCGGUUAUCCAAGUCAGGGGUGAAAACCUUGGGCUCAACUCAGGGCCUGCCUCUGAAACUGGGUAACUUGAGGGCAGGAGAGGGGAGUGGAAUUCCCAGUGUAGCGGUGAAAUGCGUAGAUAUUGGGAGGAACACCAGUGGCGAAGGCGGCUCUCUGGCCUAACCCUGACGCUGAGGCGCGAAAGCGUGGGGAUCAAACAGGAUUAGAUACCCUGGUAGUCCACGCCGUAAACGAUGGGUGCUAGGUGUAGGAGGUAUCGACCCCUUCUGUGCCGUAGUUAACAC
This 595-nucleotide ribosomal RNA is filed under the name uncultured bacterium. RNAcentral's name for it is "bacterial SSU rRNA". It matches the Rfam family "Bacterial small subunit ribosomal RNA", at positions 250 to 858 of the family's 1533-position model. The record is from RNAcentral.